GACGAACGCUGGCGGCGUGCUUAACACAUGCAAGUCGAACGGAAAGGCCCUGCUUUUGUUGGGUGCUCGAGUGGCGAACGGGUGAGUAACACGUGAGUAACCUGCCCUUGACUUUGGGAUAACUUCAGGAAACUGGGGCUAAUACCGGAUAGGAGCUCCUGCUGCAUGGUGGGGGUUGGAAAGUUUCGGCGGUUGGGGAUGGACUCGCGGCUUAUCAGCUUGUUGGUGGGGUAGUGGCUUACCAAGGCUUUGACGGGUAGCCGGCCUGAGAGGGUGACCGGGCACAUUGCGCCUGAGAUACGGACCAGAAUCCUACGGGAGGCAGCAGUGGAGAAUAUUGCACAAUGGGCGGACGCCUGAUGCAGCAACGCCGCGUGCGGGAUGACGGCCUUCGGGUUGUAAACCGCUUUCGAAUGUGACGAAGCGUGAGUGACGGUAAUGGGUAAAGAAGCACCGGCUAACUACGUG
RNAcentral lists this ribosomal RNA (468 nucleotides) under uncultured bacterium. RNAcentral's name for it is "partial 16S ribosomal RNA". It matches the Rfam family "Bacterial small subunit ribosomal RNA", at positions 28 to 507 of the family's 1533-position model. The record is from RNAcentral.